UUCACGCAUUAAAACCCCACGGUUUCUCUAAACUCGAAUUUUAAACAUUCGACUUCAUCCGAGUGCAGCACGCCUAGCGUCAAACCGAGAAAACAUACGUUUAUAUAGAAUAUCCACCCCGGCCCACCAUCAAGAUGACGUCAACACGGGGGCCACUCGCAACACCCACAAUUGGCUCAAACGCGUCACGUGGUCACGCAAUAUCUGUCAAUUUCCUUCGUGAAAUGGCAUUUCUACGUUAAUAUGUUUUUGUUACAGAGCCUCAAGAAGAAAAAUAUACCCUGCAUUUAUCACCUGCAACAGUUUCUACGAUUUUCUUUUCAAUCUGUACACGGCGUUCGAUAUAUGCUUCCGUAUCCGGUCAGCUGUAAUGGAUGCCGUAUGCCGAGCUUGCUAACUGCGAACUUGUGUGACUCCCGGUUCAUCCUCUUUGUUCAGGUCAUUGGGUUGGUGUUGGAGUUGGUCACCAUAUUCUGAACGUUUCACCUAUCGUUGCGGUGUACUGUUCUUGAUCUGCUGCGAAGCGACGAACCGCAACGGCAGUCACUCGCCUCAGCGAACUUCUGUCUGCUGCAUCUCAAAGGAGCAUGGGGACCUGAUGAUACCUUCAACUAAAAAAACCAAAUGUGCUCUCGUGUGGUCCUGACGGAAAAGUAGUAUCAACAAGAACCCUCCACUUUUUCGACCAAGAUAUGGUUAUGAGAUCCUUCUGAUGGCUUCUUACUAGGCUAUGCCGCUCCGAAGCAUUGAGAUGACGAAGCGUCGUGGUAGCUGCACCUCUGCCUUCGAAAGAUGAAUCAGUCAUUCCACACUGUGCUUACUGGCUUUGUAUAGAGUCUGGCAAAUCCGACAGACUUGGACUGCCUUUUUCAAGAAAGUUUGAAAUAGCAUCCCUUAUGCACCUG
Molecule: long non-coding RNA, 905 nt
Organism: Ornithodoros turicata
Lineage: Eukaryota; Metazoa; Arthropoda; Arachnida; Ixodida; Argasidae
Exons: 3
Source: RefSeq, a predicted model, not a curated record